CCCUUAGAUGUUCUGGGCCGCACGCGCGCUACACUGAUGCAUUCAACGAGCCUAUCCUUGACCGACAGGUCCGGGUAAUCUUUGAAUCUGCAUCGUGACGGGGAUAGAUUAUUGCAAUUAUUAAUCUUCAACGAGGAAUGCCUAGUAGGCGCAAGUCAUCAGCUUGCGUCGAUUACGUCCCUGCCCUUUGUACACACCCCCCGUCGCUCCUACCGAUUGGGUGUGCUGGUGAAAUGUUCGGAUCGGCCGUUUGUCGCGGUUUCCGCGUCAUGUGGCUGAGAAGUUCAUUAAACCCUCCCACCUAGAGGAAGGAGAAGUCGUAACA
RNAcentral lists this ribosomal RNA (325 nucleotides) under uncultured eukaryote. RNAcentral describes it as "partial 18S ribosomal RNA". It matches the Rfam family "Eukaryotic small subunit ribosomal RNA", at positions 1470 to 1796 of the family's 1831-position model. The record is from RNAcentral.